RNAcentral lists this ribosomal RNA (419 nucleotides) under Actinomyces sp. 11-231. RNAcentral's name for it is "bacterial SSU rRNA". It matches the Rfam family "Bacterial small subunit ribosomal RNA", at positions 40 to 455 of the family's 1533-position model. The record is from RNAcentral. Lineage: Bacteria; Bacillati; Actinomycetota; Actinomycetes; Actinomycetales; Actinomycetaceae.
CGGCGUGCUUAACACAUGCAAGUCGAACGCUGAAGCCUGGCUUUUGUUGGGUGGAUGAGUGGCGAACGGGUGAGUAACACGUGAGUAMCCUGCCCCCUUCUUUGGGAUAACGCCCGGAAACGGGUGCUAAUACKGGAUAUUCACUGGUCUUSGCAUGGGGGUUGGUGGAAAGGGUUUUCUGGUGGGGGAUGGGCUCGCGGCCUAUCAGCUUGUUGGUGGGGUGAUGGCCUACCAAGGCUUUGACGGGUAGCCGGCCUGAGAGGGUGMCCGGUCACAUUGGGAYUGAGAUACGGCCCAGACUCCUACGGGAGGCAGCAGUGGGGAAUAUUGCACAAUGGGCGCAAGCCUGAUGCAGCGACGCCGCGUGAGGGAUGGAGGCCUUCGGGUUGUGAACCUCUUUCGCUCAUGGUCAAGCCGCA